Molecule: long non-coding RNA, 520 nt
Organism: Penaeus monodon (black tiger shrimp)
Lineage: Eukaryota; Metazoa; Arthropoda; Malacostraca; Decapoda; Penaeidae
Exons: 3
Source: RefSeq, a predicted model, not a curated record
GUUACAAGAGGCUUAGUAUCAGACAGGUCCUGGCUGCGUGGCGGCGUAGAGGGCGAGGGGAGUCUCGGGAAGUUUUUGUUUAUCCCUGGGAGAUGUCCGAAGUCGCUGGAAUUUCCCGGGUGAAGUCACCAGGAGGAAGGUUUCAUCUCGUACAGUUUUAGGGCACACUUCUCGCUACUUACCAGCCUCUCGUAAAACUGAAAAAACGUAAGGAUAGUCGAGUUCUCCCGGACAAGAUGGUUCAUGGCGAUGGGGUGCCUGGGCAACCUGCACAUGACCUGAUUGGAGAGUGAAAAUUAGUCAACAGCUGCUGUCAUUCAUCUGAUGGUGUAUGCAUGCAUGGCAGUGACAGCUGACCUGGCAGAGGACAAGGAGCUUGUUCAUGCAAUCAAGACAUUUUAUUUGUAAUUUGGUGUUGUGUUUAUUAAUUGUUCUUUAUAAAUUAAGACAGGAUUUGUUAUGUUGCUAUUGGAUAAAAUAUGAAAUAUAAUGUUUAAUAAAUUUUGUUGUUGAAUUUGUA